UGUUAUUAAGCUAAUAACGUUUCCAAUAAAAUAUCGUUUAUUUUCAUUUCACAUUUUAUUCCAAUAAGACGUAUUAUAGUAUUAUAAUUUUUUAAUAAAAGAUGAUUGUUUCAAAACAUCAUCUUCGACUUUUAGUAAAUAUUAUUUUAAAUUACAUUUUCAAAAUUUUAAUUUUAAUUUUAAUCAUGUUUGUAAUCGUAGGUCGGAGUAUUAGUCAUUUAUUGCUGUAUUGAAUCCACUGUUGGAUCAAUUCGUGGUGUGUUGCAAUGAGAUCCAAUCGAGCAAACGAGGAAACAUUUUAGUGGUCCCUCGUUGACUAAAUCCAAAACUAGACUACCGAUGCUUCAACGUCAUCUGAUAUUACGUCUGAUACCACUCGGGUCGAUACAACAAUGUCCGAUACAACUAUCUCGCCAACUGAUGAAACAGUUACACCGAAAAGCCACCGUCGUUGAACAAUUAUUUGGACUAGAAAAACGUCUGGAACGACAGAAGAACCACCGUCGACGAUAACGGAAGCAGGAAAGACAGAUGCACUAUAUUAUUAACUAUAACUGCUGCUAAACAUCUAUAAUGAUAAUAUACAAAUUUGUAGACGAAUAAACAUUACUACAAAUUUGUAUAAAAUAAACGAAAUUGAGUUCGCUCAAGAAUAAAAUAAAAAGAAUAAUACGAGCACUUAUUAUAUUAUAUUAUAUGUACCUUGUGCGUUUAUGCUGCGCGUACAGUUCAUAACGUUUUAUCCUAUUUUUGCAAUACUUUAUUUUUAUUUUUAUUUUAUCCAAAAAUGAU
Molecule: RNA transcript, 792 nt
Organism: Rhopalosiphum maidis (corn leaf aphid)
Lineage: Eukaryota; Metazoa; Arthropoda; Insecta; Hemiptera; Aphididae
Exons: 2
Source: RefSeq, a predicted model, not a curated record